GGGGCUGUAGCUCAGCUGGGAGAGCGCUUGACUGGCAGUCAAGAGGUCAGGGGUUCGAUCCCCCUCAGCUCCACCA
Molecule: transfer RNA, 76 nt
Filed under: Candidatus Polarisedimenticola svalbardensis
Lineage: Bacteria; Pseudomonadati; Acidobacteriota; Candidatus Polarisedimenticolia; Candidatus Polarisedimenticolales; Candidatus Polarisedimenticolaceae
Also listed under: 1 other name
Description: tRNA-Ala
Rfam family: tRNA
About the family: Transfer RNA (tRNA) molecules are approximately 80 nucleotides in length. Their secondary structure includes four short double-helical elements and three loops (D, anti-codon, and T loops). Further hydrogen bonds mediate the characteristic L-shaped molecular structure. tRNAs have two regions of fundamental functional importance: the anti-codon, which is responsible for specific mRNA codon recognition, and the 3' end, to which the tRNAs corresponding amino acid is attached (by aminoacyl-tRNA synthetases). tRNAs cope with the degeneracy of the genetic code in two manners: having more than one tRNA (with a specific anti-codon) for a particular amino acid; and 'wobble' base-pairing, i.e. permitting non-standard base-pairing at the 3rd anti-codon position.
Source: RNAcentral